RNAcentral lists this unclassified non-coding RNA (352 nucleotides) under plant metagenome. RNAcentral describes it as "partial contains small subunit ribosomal RNA, internal transcribed spacer 1, and 5.8S ribosomal RNA". The record is from RNAcentral.
UUUCCGUAGGUGAACCUGCGGAAGGAUCAUUAAAAAUGAAAAACGAAUAACUUCAGGGAAGAAGGGAACCUGCACGGUGACCUCCCCUGUCGGGCCACCCAAUACCUUCAAAAUGCCGCCGUCCUAGCGGUGGCAGACGAAAAAAAAACAAGAAAAACAAAAUAGAAACAGGCACGGUGGCCCGUUCACCUUCACACAACCCUCCGAGUACCGCUUCCAUGUUGCCUCCCCGAAAAUCCACCUCUUUGGUGAGCGCGGGGGAGGUCCGCAUCAAAUUCACCUGAAUGUCACAGCAGUCAGACAGCCAUUCAUGGAAACAAUAAAACUUUCAACAACGGAUCUCUUGGUUCCC